GAAUGAGGACAUACGUCAUGGUAGCUUGCUGUCACGUCACGAUUUGGGAGGUGCCUGAGCCCGUCCACCAUUUUGGCGUACCUACACUAUCGGUUGCCAGGGGCAACAGUGUAAGAGCGCUGCAUUUCAAAACACUGGACGAAAUGGAUGUGGAAACUGUGAACUGUGCUGUUCAAUUUGUUUUGUUGAGAUAGAGAAGGUGAAUCAUCGUCAGUCUGCUUGCAGUAGGAGAAUAUUCUGUCGGCAACUUUGCCCGCAACGUGCGAAGAUAACUACUGGCCUAACCUAAAGGUUGGAUAACUACUGGACUAACCUAAAGCUUUCUCCUUCUGUGUGCAGUCUUGAAGCAACCCCAUCAUCGGCAGCUGUGUCUGAUCGUCCUUCAUGUUGAAUAUACUUGUGUACAGUAUAUAGUAAUGUUUG
Long non-coding RNA from Sander lucioperca (pikeperch), 423 nucleotides. RefSeq lists it as uncharacterized. Lineage: Eukaryota; Metazoa; Chordata; Actinopteri; Perciformes; Percidae. The record is from RefSeq and is a predicted model, not a curated record. The transcript is spliced from 3 exons.